CCUACGAGAGGCUGCAGUGGGGAAUAUUGGACAAUGGGGGCAACCCUGAUCCAGCCAUGCCGCGUGUGUGAAGAAGGCCCUCGGGUUGUAAAGCACUUUCAGUGAGGAAGAACGCCUGGUGGUUAAUACCCAUCAGGAAAGACAUCACUCACAGAAGAAGCACCGGCUAACUCCGUGCCAGCAGCCGCGGUAAUACGGAGGGUGCGAGCGUUAAUCGGAAUUACUGGGCGUAAAGCGCGCGUAGGUGGCUUGAUAAGCCGGUUGUGAAAGCCCCGGGCUCAACCUGGGAACGGCAUCCGGAACUGUCAAGCUAGAGUGCAGGAGAGGAAGGUAGAAUUCCCGGUGUAGCGGUGAAAUGCGUAGAGAUCGGGAGGAAUACCAGUGGCGAAGGCGGCCUUCUGGACUGACACUGACACUGAGGUGCGAAAGCGUGGGUAGCAAACAGGAUUAGAUACCCUGGUAGUC
Molecule: ribosomal RNA, 465 nt
Filed under: Vreelandella stevensii
Lineage: Bacteria; Pseudomonadati; Pseudomonadota; Gammaproteobacteria; Oceanospirillales; Halomonadaceae
Description: partial 16S ribosomal RNA
Rfam family: Bacterial small subunit ribosomal RNA
Source: RNAcentral